RNAcentral lists this long non-coding RNA (1249 nucleotides) under Mytilus galloprovincialis (Mediterranean mussel). Lineage: Eukaryota; Metazoa; Mollusca; Bivalvia; Mytilida; Mytilidae. The record is from RNAcentral.
AACGUUUCGCCAUCGUUUUGAUCUAUACGCAAUACAUUUAAAACGUACUACAUACGAUUAUUUACGUGGGUAUAUAUACUUAGGCUCGAUUAGGGGGUUACUCAUUACAGAACCAGAUGUAGAGACGAAGAGAGACAAGGUAGGAACACUUUUCUUAUAAUUUAAAAAAAAGUACAUGAACAAGAAUGUAGUGUGUAUAUAAACCCUAUCUAAUGUCUUAUUAUAAUUUAUCUUAAAAGUGAAGUAUUGAAAAAGUAUGAUUUUAAGCUGCAGGCGCAAAUUAAUAAGAUUAUUUUCACAGGUUUAGACUACGGCUGUUUUUUUAUUUGAUAUAGAAAAUUUAUUAUUAAGCUAGAGUAAGAUCAAAUGGGCACAUUUGUUCGUCUUUGAGACCACUCGGGAAAAUGUUUAACCGACCGAAAUUGUCAAAUUGUGGACAGUAUGUUAGAUAAUGUGUAACUGAAACAAACAAAAAAUAUAAUAUUCCUAAGUAUCGUUUUUUUUUAAACUUGAUUUUUGAUAAAAAAAAAAAUCUAAAUUAUUAUAUGAUUGGCCAAUACCAUUUUCGAAAAAAAAAUCACAAGGGAUAGGUAUACAUAAAAUUAUUCAUAAUGAUUUGUUCGUAUAUGAUCAUUUUCAGAUUCUCUGUCUACAGAACAUGCUGAACAUAAGCUACAGAAACAAAUGAUGAAAGUGGGAUGUUUCCAUGUGGUUAUUUUGAAGUGUUAGAAUGAAAGAUAAAAGUUUCAGUCAACUGCAAAAUUUAUACAUGUUAUAUUAAAGAGCAUACACCGGUAUUGAUCAUGGCCAAACUACUCUAGUUUCAAAAUAAAAUAUGCUACUAGGACAAGAAAUUGCCAUGGAAAUAUUAUAUUGUCAAUAUAAAACUUCCAUGGAAUUGCAUUGUGCUUUUUUAAACUAACCCUGUACUGUAUGUCGGUAAACUAAAUGUGCCGUAUGAGAACAAUUUAGCCAAAACGGUGUGUUUUGGAUUCAUGUCGAAUAUUCAUGUUACUUCACGGUAAACUGUAAACGUAUAUUUCUGAAGAUUUGUGAUGUAGAUGGACCAUACCCGUAGCCAGGGGGUUCGGACGAACCCCCUUGAAAACAAAUAAGCACUGUUAAUGUCAAUGUUCUGUUCGAAUUGUGACUGUUAAAGUCGAUUUCGUGAGUCCAAAUAACCCCCCUUGGAAAUUCCUGGCUACGGGCCUGUGGACAGACCAGUCUUUAAGAAAACACUACAAAAAAA